Molecule: ribosomal RNA, 253 nt
Filed under: uncultured bacterium
Lineage: Bacteria
Description: partial 16S ribosomal RNA
Rfam family: Bacterial small subunit ribosomal RNA
Source: RNAcentral
UACGGGGGGGGCAAGCGUUGUUCGGAAUUACUGGGCGUAAAGGGUUUGUAGGUGGCUUGUUAAGUCAGACGUGAAAUCCCUCAGCUUAACUGGGGAACUGCGUCUGAUACUGGAUGGCUUGGAUUUGGGAGAGGGAUGCGGAAUUCCAGGUGUAGCGGUGAAAUGCGUAGAUAUCUGGAGGAACACCGGUGGCGAAGGCGGCAUCCUGGACCAAUAUUGACGCUGAGGAGCGAAAGCCAGGGGAGCAAACGGG